Molecule: ribosomal RNA, 1355 nt
Filed under: uncultured bacterium
Lineage: Bacteria
Description: bacterial SSU rRNA
Rfam family: Bacterial small subunit ribosomal RNA
Source: RNAcentral
AUUGAACGCUGGCGGCAGGCUUAACACAUGCAAGUCGAACGAUGAUUAUCUAGCUUGCUAGAUAUGAUUAGUGGCGGACGGGUGAGUAACAUUUAGGAAUCUGCCUAGUAGUGGGGGAUAGCUCGGGGAAACUCGAAUUAAUACCGCAUACGUCCUACGGGUGAAAGGGGGCGCAAGCUCUUGCUAUUAGAUGAGCCUAAAUCAGAUUAGCUAGUUGGUGGGGUAAAGGCCCACCAAGGCGACGAUCUGUAACUGGUCUGAGAGGAUGAUCAGUCACACCGGAACUGAGACACGGUCCGGACUCCUACGGGAGGCAGCAGUGGGGAAUAUUGGACAAUGGGGGCAACCCUGAUCCAGCCAUGCCGCGUGUGUGAAGAAGGCCUUUUGGUUGUAAAGCACUUUAAGCAGGGAGGAGAGGCUAAUGGUUAAUACCCAUUAGAUUAGACGUUACCUGCAGAAUAAGCACCGGCUAACUCUGUGCCAGCAGCCGCGGUAAUACAGAGGGUGCGAGCGUUAAUCGGAAUUACUGGGCGUAAAGCGAGUGUAGGUGGCUCAUUAAGUCACAUGUGAAAUCCCCGGGCUUAACCUGGGAACUGCAUGUGAUACUGGUGGUGCUAGAAUAUGUGAGAGGGAAGUAGAAUUCCAGGUGUAGCGGUGAAAUGCGUAGAGAUCUGGAGGAAUACCGAUGGCGAAGGCAGCUUCCUGGCAUAAUAUUGACACUGAGAUUCGAAAGCGUGGGUAGCAAACAGGAUUAGAUACCCUGGUAGUCCACGCCGUAAACGAUGUCUACUAGCCGUUGGGGUCCUUGAGACUUUAGUGGCGCAGUUAACGCGAUAAGUAGACCGCCUGGGGAGUACGGCCGCAAGGUUAAAACUCAAAUGAAUUGACGGGGGCCCGCACAAGCGGUGGAGCAUGUGGUUUAAUUCGAUGCAACGCGAAGAACCUUACCUGGUCUUGACAUAGUGAGAAUCUUUCAGAGAUGAGAGAGUGCCUUCGGGAAUUCACAUACAGGUGCUGCAUGGCUGUCGUCAGCUCGUGUCGUGAGAUGUUGGGUUAAGUCCCGCAACGAGCGCAACCCUUUUCCUUAUUUGCCAGCGGGUUAAGCCGGGAACUUUAAGGAUACUGCCAGUGACAAACUGGAGGAAGGCGGGGACGACGUCAAGUCAUCAUGGCCCUUACGACCAGGGCUACACACGUGCUACAAUGGUAGGUACAGAGGGUUGCUACACAGCGAUGUGAUGCUAAUCUCAAAAAGCCUAUCGUAGUCCGGAUUGGAGUCUGCAACUCGACUCCAUGAAGUCGGAAUCGCUUGUAAUCGCAGAUCAGAAUGCUGCGGUGAAUACGUUCCCGGGCCU